This 41323-nucleotide long non-coding RNA is filed under the name Citrus maxima (pomelo). RNAcentral describes it as "long non-coding RNA (CMAX_LNC000274)". Lineage: Eukaryota; Viridiplantae; Streptophyta; Magnoliopsida; Sapindales; Rutaceae. The record is from RNAcentral.
UGGACACACUUUUACAAUGUGAAAACGUUUGGAUUUUUGCACCUGACUAUUUUUAAACUAUUCUCUAUAUCAAGUGUACAACUAUCUAAUAACAUCGUAUGGUUGUUCAGGCAUGGGAUCUGUGGACAAGCAACAGGACAUUGGAGUUGAUUGAUGAUCCAGUAUUAGAAGAUGAAUAUUCCUCCAAGCAUAUGCUUUUAAGAUAUGUGAACAUAGCACUCCUUUGUGUACAAGAAAGUGCUGAUGAUAGUGUUGGGGAAAAAUUAAGUUUUUAAAUUUUUUAUAAAACCUUUUGAAGAUCGCUCUCAUAUAAUAUAUAAGAAUUCGUAAUCUAGAAAUCGUACCUUGAAAAUCCGAGUUGGCUUUUCCCGCUGAAAUGAUUUAGGCUCCUAGAUCACGAUAUGCCACCACCACUCCUGUUAGAUCACGAUAUGCCACCACCACUCCUGUUAGAUCACGAUAUGCCACCACCACUCCUGUUAGAUCACGAUCCGUCACCACCACGCUUGUUAGAUCACGAACUGUCACCAAUGAUCUUCCAGGUUAUGACUCAGGUUCGAUAUGCACUUGACGUGUGGGCGCCUUUAUCACUACCAAAGCAACUAGCACGAGAAAAUUUUUCUCUCAACAAUAGAGAGAAAAAUCUUAUUCUCCGAUUUGUAUAAAGUGGCUUCACCUUUUUUCUUUUGAGAAAAUAAGCCUUAUAUAUCUCCCUUUAGUGAAAACCCUAGACUCCAAAUAAUGCCCAAAAUAAAACUCACCUUACUUUUCAUUUAAUAGGGGACCCACCAUGUAAAAUAACAUAAGACCCCUUACACAUAAGCUAAUUAAAUGGAGCCUCCCACUAAAUGAUAUAUUUAGGCUUUUGACCCAAAUAACUAGUUAUCUUGCUUAUUAGUCCAGUAGUGGUGCAGUCAAUUAAAUGAGCUAACCCGGGGAUCAUUUGGGAACAUACAAUAGUGGCUAUAACAAUUAGGCCUGUAAUUAAACUAGCAUAAUUAUUUAAUUCCAAAUCUACUCCACUAAAAGAUUGGAAUUGACCUCCAUAAUUGUAUGCUCGAAUAAUAAUUCGUCCCAAGCCACAUUGAUUUCUUUACUGCACAAUCCUUUGUACCACAUCGUUAAUUAAAUCGAUAUCUCAAUUGUCCAAUCAAUUUAAUCACAUCUUGUUCCUUGAUACUUACUGGUUUUCUCUAAUGAUCAUUUUCAACAUACUAAAUAUGUUGACACACUCUGGCCAGAGAAUUCUAUGAUCAAGUGCCGAAAACCCAUCAAGAGAUGUGUUGUACAAAUUCUAUAUUGUUAAUCCAUAACUCCAAUACUCAUAAUUGCUCCCACCAAGAUACCGGGUAAUCUAGACUACAAGUACGUGUCAUGCCCAUUAGUAACUCAAAUGGAAUAACAAUUACAAUCAUGAAAUCAUAAUUAACUCAAGAUUAAGAUUACAGUAAAAUCAAUGCCUAUGAGAUUUAAUAAGUCUGACAGUUAUUACAAAGUUAAUUAAAUCUCACAUGUGAUCAUGUUCAAUGUAGUCGUACUACAUCAAUAAAUUCAUACAUGAUUAAGACAAAUCAUUCAAUGAAUUUAUUACAGUCUAUACCUAAAUAAAGUGCCCAAUUUUAUUUAUCAACUAAAUUUAUUUAAUCAUAAGAUAACUUAUAUUUAUGUCUUCUAUGAAUCCACAUGGUGAUCACAUAAAUACAUAUAAUAUGAUUAAAUUGACUUUAAUCCAAAUAUUAAUGUAAUUAAGAUAUUUGAAUAAAAUACCUCAUUUAUUUUAUUAAUCAGAAAAAAAAUAUUUAUUACAAUUAAAUAAACACAUAUGCUUUUAAAGAGCAUAUUUUCCCAACAAUCUCCCACUAGCUCUCAAAGCAUAUUUAGCAUUUCACGCAUGCCCAUGGAUUCUAAGUGCAAGUUAAAAGGUUUCCCAGGUAUGGCCUUAGUAAAAGGAUCUGCCAAGUUUUGCUGUGACGCAAUCUGAGUAACCUCCACAUCACUUCUCUGCACUAUAUCCCUUAUAAGAUGAUACUUCCUCUCAAUAUGUUUUUGUUUCUUGUGGUUCCUUGGUUCCUUAGAUUGAGCUACCGCACCAUUAUUAUCGCAAAAUAGUUUCAGGGGUGCAAUUACAGCAGGUACCACCUCAAGAUCUUGUAGGAACUUGCGGAGCCAUACAGCUUCUUUUGCAGCUUCGGAUGCAGCCACAUAUUCAGCUUCAGUUGUGGAGUCUGCGAUACAAGAUUGUUUCACACUCCUCCAACUAAUAGCUCCACUUCCCAAUGUAAACACAUAGCCGGAAGUUGAUUUUCUGGAAUCCUUAUCUGACAUAAAGUCAGAAUCAGUAUAACCUACUGGAAUGAGUUCAUCACCAGAAUACACAAGCAUAUAAUUUUUAGUUCUUUUCAAAUACUUCAUUAUAUUCUUGACCGCAGUCCAGUGUUCAGGUCCAGGAUUAGAUUGAUAUCUACUAACCAUCCCUACCGCAAAACAGAUGUCUGGCCUAGUGCAAAGCAUGGCAUACAUAAGACUUCCCACAGCUUCUGCAUAGGGAACUCGUCUCAUUCUCUGUAUCUCUUCAGAUGUUUUAGGUGAUUGAUCCUUAGAGAAUGUAAUUCCAUGUCUGAAUGGUAAUAAACCAGUCUUCGAAUUUUCCAUGCUAAAUCUAGCCAAUAUCUUAUCGAUAUAGACCGCUUGAGACAAUGCUAAAGUUUUAUUCUUCCGGUCUCGUAGUAAUUUAAUACCAAGAAUAUAACUUGCCUCUCCCAAGUCUUUCAUAUCAAAUUGUUUUGCUAACCAACUCUUUAUUGUAGUCAACACUCCUAUAUCGUUUCCAAUUAGGAGAAUAUCGUCUACAUAAAGAAUUAGGAAGGCUACAGAUUUUUCUUGAAUUUUUUUGUACACACAUGGUUCAUCAAUGUUCUGAAUGAAUCCAAACGAUUUUAUCGCUUGAUCAAAUCUGAUGUUCCAUGACCGGGAUGCUUGCUUCAAUUCAUAAAUGGAUCUCUGCAACUUACAUACCAUGUGUUCUUGGCCUUUUUGUAUAAAUCCAUCUGGUUGCUGCAUGUAGAUGUUUUCUUCAAGAUGCCCGUUAAGAAAGGCAGUCUUGACAUCCAUUUGCCAAAUUUCAUAAUCUAGCACUGCAGCAAUGGAGAGCAGAAUCCUGAUGGAUUUAAGCAUAGCAACCGGAGAAAAGGUUUCCUCAUAAUCGAUUCCCUCUUUUUGAGUAAACUCUUUGGCUACUAAUCUUACUUUAAAUGUUUCCACCCUUCCGUCUACUCCUCUUUUUCUCUUGUAAAUCUACUUGCACCCUAUGGGUUUUACCCCAUUUGGUGCCUCUACAAGUUCCCAGACUUUAUUGGAAUACAUAGAUUCCAUUUCUUGAUUCAUGACCAUUUUCCAAAAUUCAACAUCUCUAUCUAUUAGAGCUUCGUUGUAACUAGUGGGAUCUUGUACAUGUUCAUCUGAGAUAGCCGUAUAAGUUUCUCCCAAAAGCAUGUAUCUCGUAGGUAACCUAGUUACCCUCCUACUACGACGAGGUUCUAAAAGUGAUGGUUGUUCAGGGUUAAUCCUGUGUUGAUCAUCUGGUUGUUGUUGUUCUUCCUGUUCUGUAACAGGCGUUGAAAGCUGAGCAUCAACCUGAUCACCUGACAGUUCAAGUAUUACCUUACUCUUAGGUUUGAAGUUAUUCAUAUAGUCUUCCUCAAGGGAAGUGAAAUGUGUGCUCACGAUCACUUUCCUAUCUUGAGGACUAUAAAAUAAACCUCCCCUUGUUCCUUUGGGAUACCCCACAAACAUACAAACCUUAGAACGUGAAUCCAUUUUGUCUGCCUUUGGUUUCAGCACAUCUGCUGGUGAUCCCCAAAUACGGACAUGUCGUAAACUUGGUUUGCGACCUGACCAUAAUUCUAUUGGGGUUUUAGGCACUGACUUAGAUGGAACUAAGUUCAAAAGGUAAACUGCAGUUUCCAGUGCUAGUGCCCAAAAAGAGAUUGGUAAUGACGAAUAACUAAGCAUAGAUCUCACCAUAUCCAAAAGAGUUCUAUUUCUUCUUUCAGCUACCCCAUUUUGUUGUGGUGUUCCCGGGGCAGUCAACUGAGAUACAAUCCCAUUUUCAACCAGAUACUCUUUGAAAUCUCCUGAGAGAAAUUCACCACCUCGAUCAGAUCGAAGUUUCUUUAUGUUCUUAUCUAAUUGCUUUUCUGUCUCAGCCCUAUACUCUUUGAAAUCUCCUGAGAGAAAUUCACCACCUCGAUCAGAUCGAAGUUUCUUUAUGUUCUUAUCUAAUUGCUUUUCUGUCUCAGCCCUAUACUCUUUGAAUUUCUCAAGAACUUCAGACUUAUGACGCAUCAGAUAAACAUAAUCGUAUCUUGAGUAAUCAUCAGUGAAAGUGAUGAAAUACUUAUAACCUCCUUGAGCUUGUACAUUGAUUGGUCCACAUACAUUUGUAUGUACCAAUUCAAGUGGUACUGUUGCACGUACUCCUUUGGCCGAGAAUGGCCUUUUGGUCAUUUUUCCUUCUAAACAGGAUUCACAGAGUGGCAAUGAUUCAUUUUCUAAUGGAUCCAAGAGCCCAUCUUUGAUCAUUCUCUGUAUCCUAUUUUGGUUUAUAUGACCCAAGCGUAAAUGCCAGAGGUAACAUUGGUUGGAAGAAAUAUUUCUUUUCUUAGAUAAAUGUGUAUGCUCAUCAUUAUUUAUCACUGUGUCAUGCAUAGAAUGGAUCAUUGGACUUAAAUGAUAUAAAUUAUCUUCCAAUGUACCAGAACAAAUAAGUCUCUUAUUAUGAAAAAUAGAAACAGAGGAUCCAAAAUUUACAGUGUACCAUUGCUUUGACAAACAAGCUACUGAAAUUAAAUUCCUCUUAAUGUCUGAAACAUAAAGACAAUUAUUCAAAACUAAAGUCUCAUUAUUAAAAGAUAAUAAAACAGAUCCAGUCUUCACUGUUGACACGAACUGUCCUGUCCCUAACUGCAGCUUGACGCUUCCUUAACUUAUUUUCCUGAAACCAAUAAAGUGAAUUACAAAUAUGAUUAGUUGCUCCUGAAUCCAACACCCAAGUGUCAAUAGGAUUCUGAACUAAACAUGCCUCAAUUACAAAAAGAUUUCCCAUACCUGAUUUCACAAUCUUAGGGCAAUCAUUUUUCCAGUGACCUUUCUGUCCACACUUAAAGCAUUUGCCUUUCGGCUUGCCAUCUUGCUUGGUAGACGGUUUCUUUUUCCCAGCUUUCUUCUUACCUUUGCCUUUCGGCUUAGGCCUAGAAGAUGAACUUUUUUCAGUAAUAUUUAUGCUUCCCAGAGAUUUCUCAGCACGAUAGAUCUCUUCAGCAGAAUGGAGUUCGUUCAUCAAUUCAGUUAAGGUCAUGUUUCUUUUGUUCAUGUUAUAAUUGACCUUAAACUCCUUGAAUGUUUCUGGCAGAGAUUCUAGCACCAUGUCAAUCUUUGAGUUAUCAUCGAUUUGUGCUCCCUGAAUCUCAGCCUCGUUCAAAUAGUCCAUCAUUUUGAGGACAUGAUCACGAACUCUUGUGCCCUUCCCCAUUUUACUGUUCAUAAUUCCUUUCAGUGCUGCUUGUCUCGCUGAGCGAGUACUCUGCCCGAACAUCUGUUGGAGACUAUCCAUUAUUUCAGUGGCAGUCUCCAAGUUCUGAUAUUUGGUCUGCAGAAUAUUAAAAAUCGAGGCUAAAAUGUAGCACUUUGCCAUUUCAUUGGCCUUUUGCCAUUUCUCAUAACGUCUCCUCUGAUUUCUAUGAGCAUCAUCCGCUGGAACUGGAGGGCAUGGCUGGGUUAAGACAUAUUUAUAAUUUUCAGCAGUCAGGACAAUGAAUAGAUUUCUUUUCCAAUCUAUAUAGUUCUCUCCAGUGAGUUUGUUUUGACUCAGAAUAAUAGUACGUGGGCUCAGGGAAGACAUUUUCUGAAAAAUAAAACAUCUAUGCAUAAAUAAUUUGAACUAAUAUUCACAAUAAAUGACAAAAAUGCAUAAAACCAUAAACGCAUUUUAAUUUAUUGUAACGAUAAUCUAGUUCCGCUUUGACAAGCUAUCCGGUAGGGAAGUCAUGUCUAUACUUACUAGACCCAAUUACCCAUUGGAUUAUUUACUUUCAUGUAGAGACAUGAUAAAUAAUUAUCGUUAUCCUUUUUGGGCCUAAAUUUGUUAACAGAGCUUCGUUGGGAAGGUUAAUAACAAAUUUUAGUUGAGUGUAUGACCAUUGUUUCAAUCUACGUAUUUUUCAUAUCAAUAGUCACCGUUGGGGUGAACAAUCGAUUGAAAAAUAUUUCAAUUUUAUCUUUGAAGAAGUUUAUCAAAUAAAAUAUCUAAUAUAUAUACCCUCCGAAGGGAGCAUCACCGUAUCAUGAAGUCGAUGUAUAUAUAUAAUUUUAUUAUUGAACUAACAAUGGAGUCCGUGGGAAAAUUAUCUUGAAUUUUCCCUCUCCCACUCAAUAUUUUAAAAUUGGUUUUUCCUUUUUAAAACAUACAUAUUGUUAAUUGCAUGUUUCCUAUAAUAUUAUCUAGAUGAUAUCAAAUAUUAUUAAGCAUAUGCAAAUUUCAAACAAUAUAAUGAAAUUCAUUAUUAAUGAAUGACAUGUAUAAUUAUGCAUAGAGUGGCACUUCCUAUUCUAUAUGACAUGUUAUCAUGGUAUGUUAUCAUCCAAAACAUAACAUAUAGAAAAACAAUUAAAUAAUCUUAAUUCAUGGCUUUCCUAAUAAUGAAAAAAUACAUUAACCCUAAGCCUAAUCUUCAUUGGGCUUCUUGUCAAUGUCCAUCUUCCAUAAGCUUGUCUUUGUUAAUGGACUAGGGGAAAUUGGGCUUUUAAAUUUAUAAUUGGUCCAAUUUUAAUUUUUGAAAGGAAAUAAAUAAAUAAUUAAAAAAAAUUAUUAAAAUAAAACUUUUGGACCAAAAAUAAAUUUAAUGUAUUUAAUUUUGUCUAUGCAUUUUAAUCCAUUAAACCCAAAUUUUAAUUGUGCCUAAAUCUAGGAUUCUUUAAGCUCAAAACUGUUUUUGGACUUAAAUGCAAAAAAUUAAAACUUAUCAGCCCAAAGAAAAAAUCUAUAGAACUAUAGUGAUCGUAAUGAUAAAAACUAUUAAAACCCUAAAUCCAUCUUUUUCUCUUCCCAGCCGCCAUCACCACAAAAGGCAGUCACUGUUCAUAAUUUCCAGCCAUCUCCGACGCCGAGUUUGCUGCCGCCCUCACACCGGAAACAUACCAAUCACCUCCCUCGUGCUGCACGGAAAGCUCCUGCUCGCGCUGCCUGCUGCGUGUGCUGGCUGUUGCACACGAGCGUGCGCUAGCUGCUGCACGCGAGCGUGCGCUAGCUGCUGCACGCACAGCGUGCGUUGCUGGCUGCGCGAGCAGCACGCGUUGGCUGCUGGCUUGCAGCGCGCGCUGCUGGCAGCGUGUGCUGCGAGCCGCGAGCGCUUGCUGGCAGCGUGUGCUGCGAGCCGCGAGCGCUUGCUGGCAGCAUGUGCUGCUGGCCGCGCGCUGCUUGCUGCUGGUUGCCGCUGUCAUAAUUUUUGGCCUCCGUCGCUUUGAUCUUGAAAAUCCGAGAUUAAUUUACAAAUUUCCUAGGCCAAUUUUUGGCUUACAAAAAUUCUAUAACAGUAAAAUAAAUCAAGAGGGAAACAUGAUAAUAAAAAACCACCCCUCUUAUUACAGAUCCAAAAAAAAACUACAACGGAAAAUCUAAUCAUGAAUUAAGACAAACCAAAACAUGCUUUAUUUAUAUAUUAAACAAUUAAUAUAUAUCUGAAUAAAUUGUGCCACUCUAAUACAUAAAUUUCAAGAAUGAUUUCAUACGAAAUUCUUAUAUAUUAAUAUGAGAUGGGCUCUGAUACCAAUUGUUUGGGAAAAAUUAGGUUUUUAAAUUUUUUAUAAAACUUUUUGAAGAUCGCUCUCAUAUAAUAUAUAAGAAUUCGUAAUCUAGAAAUCGUACCUUGAAAAUCCGAGUUGGCUUUUCCCGUUGAAAUGAUUUAGGCUCCUAGAUCACAAUCUGCCACCAUCACUCCUGUUAGAUCACGAUCCGCCACCACCACGCUUGUUAGAUCACGAACUUUCACCAAUGAUCUUCCAGGUUAUGACUCAGGUUCGAUCUGCACUUGAAGUGUGGGCGCCUUUAUCACUACCAAAGCAACUAGCACGAGAAAAUUUUUUUCUCAACAAUAGAGAGAAAAAUCUUAUUCUCCGAUUUGUAUAAAGUGGCUUCACCUUUUUUCUUUUGAGAAAAUAAGCCUUAUAUAUCUCCCUUUAGUGAAAACUCUGGGCUCCAAAUAAUGCCCAAAAUAAAACUCACGUUACUUUUCAUUUAAUAGGGGACCCACCAUGUAAAAUAACAUAAGGCCCCUUACACAUAAGCUAAUUAAAUGGAGCCUCCCACUAAAUGAUAUAUUUAGGCUUUUAACCCAAAUAACUAGUUAUCUUGCUUAUUAGUCCAGUAGUGGUGCAGUCAAUUAAAUGAGCUAACCCGGGGAUCAUUUGGGAACAUACAAUAGUGGCUAUAACAAUUAGGCCUGUAAUUAAACUAGCCUAAUUAUUUAAUUCCAAAUCUACUCCACUAAAAGAUUGGAAUUGACCUCCAUAAUUGUAUGCUCGAAUAAUAAUUCGUCCCAAGCCACAUUGAUUUCUUUACUGCACAAUCCUUUGUACCACAUCGUUAAUUAAAUCGAUAUCUCAACUGUCCAAUCAAUUUAAUCACAUCUUGUUCCUUGAUACUUACUGGUUUUCUCUAAUGAUCAUUUUCAACAUACUAAAUAUGUUGACACACUCUGGCCAGAGAAUUCUAUGAUCAAGUGCCGAAAACCCAUCAAGAGAUGUGUUGUACAAAUUCUAUAUUGUUAAUCCAUAACUCCAAUACUCAUAAUUGCUCCCACCAAGAUACCGGGUAAUCUAGACUACAAGUACGUGUCAUGCCCAUUGGUAACUCAAAUGGAAUAACAAUUACAAUCAUGAAAUCAUAAUUAACUCAAGAUUAAGAUUACAGUAAAAUCAAUGCCUAUGAGAUUUAAUAAGUCUGACAGUUAUUACAAAGUUAAUUAAAUCUCACAUGUGAUCAUGUUCAAUGUAGUCGUACUACAUCAAUAAAUUCAUACAUGAUUAAGACAAAUCAUUCAAUGAAUUUAUUACAGUCUAUACCUAAAUAAAGUGCCCAAUUUUAUUUAUCAACUAAAUUUAUUUAAUCAUAAGAUAACUUAUAUUUAUGUCUUCUGUGAAUCCACAUGGUGAUCACAUAAAUACAUAUAAUAUGAUUAAAUGGACUUUAAUCCAAAUAUUAAUGUAAUUAAGAUAUUUGAAUAAAAUACCUCAUUUAUUUUAUUAAUCAGAAAAAAAAUAUUUAUUACAAUUAAAUAAACACAUAUGCUUUUAAAGAGCAUAUUUUCCCAACAGAUAGACCCACCAUGAAUGAUGUUGUAUCCAUGCUUACAAAUGAAGCUGCAGCAUUACUUCCUCCCAAACAACCGGCUUUUUCAUAUGUAAGAAAUACUGUGACUUCAACAUCGUCCACCAGCAAGGUAGCAGAUUGUUCAGUCAACCAAGUGACGAUUUCAAUUUUAGUAGCGGGCUAAUUUUUAUUUUAAUUCAUACACUUUGGGGUUAGGUUGUUCUAAUUACUCCUCUGAUCCAAUAUUUGAACUGAGUUUCCUAUUUUUGACUCGCUGGUACGUACCGACCAUUUCUCAGAGUUUAAAUUAAAGUUUAAAUUAAUUUUUUAUUUUUUAUUUUCUCCAAGAUUCAAACUUACUUAGGUGAUAAUGUAAAUAAGACUAUUUGAAAACUACUGUGCUAAACUUCUGAGACUAAUUAUUAGAUAUUAUAUGGAGUAAUGACCCUGAUUUUUAUUGGUUCAACGGGAUAUGAUACUAUCACGAGUCUGAUAUAUAAAAGGCCAUGCAUGGAACCAUUAUUUUCGUUCAAUGGGAUCAGAAUCAAGAAACUACGAACUUGGGGGAUAAAAUCAACAAUUUGUAAACCGACAGAGGGAGAGGAUCAAAACAUAUGUAAAGUCCAAGGAGAUUAACUAGAUUUCAAUUAACGCCCUUAUCUUGCUAUGAAUUAUAUAAUUCUAAUUCAAGAGAGACACUUUUAAAUAAAAAUUUAGACGUAAUAUUCUGACCAUUAUAUUAAAGCUAACCAAAAGUUGAUAUUGAAGCUAACAUGCCUUUUUUAAGUUUUAAAAACUAAAAAAUUAAUAUAAUAGAUCUCCAUAUAAUAAUAAAUUAUUAAUUAUUCGUCUCUCUUAAUAUAUUCCCUCUUUUAUCUCUUUUUUUUCAUCCGCUUACCCUUUUAUGUCUUGCCUACAUUAAUUAGUUUGAACUUUUGCAUGGCAUCAGUGCAAAAACUUAACCGACUUAUAGAGCAGAAAUGGACUUAAAUUUUAUUUUCACUCAUUGACUAUUUUCAUGCAAAAUUAUUUUGUCCAUCAAAAUUCGUAGCAGGACAUAUAUAUUCGUUUCUAUGUGUACAUAUUAAAAAUAAAAUAAAAUAAAAUAACAAGGAGAGAAAGGAGAUCACCAAAAUCACUAUCAAAACGAUAAUGUUUUUAUCACUGUUUUGUCACCGUUUUGCAUUUUGUUCAAAUAGCAGUACACAGAUUUUGAUUGUUUAGUGUUUGCUCCUAACUCAUUCCCUUAAAAAAUUAUCCUGAUUUCAAAAUCCAAUAAUUUAGGAUUCAUGUCUUUGUCCAACAACAUGUUACUAUUCUUUUCUUCUUUCAAAUCCAUGUGAGUAAUCAGCGCACGGUGCUUACAAGUCUUCCCUGCUGACCUGAAGUCCUCUUCGGCUGCUUUCUAAUUAAUUAACUUGGGCUACCUUUACUCUGUUAUAUUACAUAUACAUUGCAACUUGCAAGUUCCAUUCCUUCUCUGAGUUUCAUUUCAACUACUAUUAGACCCAAUCAUGAGAUCAAUUUUACUCUUAUCAUGGCUUUUCUCGAUACCCUUUUUAGCCAAUUUUUUGGGAUGCAUAUGGUUUGGGUGUCUGGCCAAUGUCAAGGCGAUAAAAAAUUGCUCCAUAUUUGACGUUGAAAUUAAUAGUUUAUGUUUUAUAUUGAAUUAUAAGUAAAUUACCUCUUGCAAAAAUAUGAAAUACUGAGGCUGACGAUGUGCCUUGAAGAGCGAUAUCAAGAUUAAUAUGGAAAAACACGUGCGAUCGGAUUCAAAAUUGCAAUGACACAAUCAAGAGCCAUCCAUUUUAUAUGACAAACCCAUUAAUUAUGAGGUAGAGAUUAAACAAAGUUAUAAUCAAUAGGAUUAAUUUUAUCUAUCAAAUCAAACUGACCACUUUUUAAAAAAUUGGAGACGAUUAUCAUUUUGUACAUAUGGGUCCAAUCCACAGAGAGCUUCGCCGAAGCUGAAAGCAGUGGAUAAAGUAGCGGAUACUCAUAAUCUGAUUGAUCUUUGAAUUUUCAGUCCAUGUCCUAUUGUGAUACUUACAUUACAUAUGAAAGAUCAACAAUACAUAUAGAGCUAGCUUUAAACACCAGUUGAACAGGGAGAUAUUUUAUUAAAAAGAUAUAAUGGAAUUAACAAAAUAGAUAUUAGAAGGAUUUUUGUUUUUGAAAAUUCUAGUCUAAAAGCUUUAUAAAUAAUUACUAUUGUGAAAAAAUAUGGAAUGUGGUUUUUUCUUAUAUUAAAAGUUGGAAGGUGGUCAAAGGGUAAAUUUCCCAAUAACUUUCCAACGUGUCUAUGAAUCUUGUGUCGGCUCUUCAUAAAACCUGUAAAACCACUAUCAAUUGUUAGCUCUCUCCUUACGGCUUUUACAAGUCUGCGGGUUCCACGAGCAAAUCAGCGUUCAGUUCGACGCGAGAUGAAUUGCAUUCAAUCAAUUUUUUUUUUUAUUAAACGCAAUAAAAUCACUAUCAAAUGUUAGCUGUAUCCUUACGAGACUUUUCGAAGUCUACGGGUCCCGCAAGCAAAUCAAAGUUGAGUUUGACACGAAAACGAAUUGCAUUCAAUCAAUUUUAAGAUUUUUUUUAAUAUAGUAGAUGAAUAGUGAAAGUCUAAAUUAAUUCUUUUUAUUAUACUUAUUUCAAGAUUCAAACUCACCUGAUUAAUUAAGUAAACCUGUUUAAUUAUUGGAUCUUAUAAUGAAUAAAGACCCUGAUUUUUAUUGGUUGAAUAAGGUUUGAUGCUAAUUAAUAUACUGGAAAAGGCAGAAAGAAUCCUAAUUAAUAUAAGCAGCGAUGGAUGGAGCCAUGAUUUUGGUUCAACGGGAUCAGAAUCAAGAAACUACGAACUUGGGGAGGCCAAGAUCAACAAUUUGUAAAACGAUGGAGUGAGAGGAUCAGAACAUAUAUAGAGAUUCCAAAGAAAUGGACUAAAUUUUAAUUAAUACCCUUAUCUUCCUAUGAAUUAUAUAAUUAUAAUAUUGUAAUAAUCACAUAUUUACUAGGUCCCAACGAUUCCAUUGGUGCUUGUUUCUAACUCAUUCCCUUCAAUUGUAAUUAAAAUUAUUUUAAUUAGUUUCCAAGUCUACGCCUAAAAGCUAAAAACCUUUAGUUUGCUUUGAAUAAUCCUAAAAGUUUUUGCUUUAAUUUUCUCUUAUGCUUAGUUUGGUAUAGCUUUCCAAAUAUAGUUUAUUCAAUAGAGUUUUUAUUAGUAAAGCUUUUAUAAACAGUGUUUUUAUAAAAAUAAUUUUAGUUAUUUGUUGUCAAUGGAAGCUUUUAUUAAAAAUUAAAAAAUUGUUUAAUAAGCACGUUUUUUAAAAUUAUAUUAUAAAAUGAAUGAAAUAAAAUUGUCGAAUAAAUAAAUGAUAUUUUAGAUGUUUUAAUAUUUUUAAAAAUAAUUUUUUGAACAUUUACUUCCAAAAACCCAAAUUUUGAGUUUUUACUAGUAGAGAAAAAAUAACUUAUAUAAUUUUCAAAAGCUCUACUAAAAAACAAAUCCAAACAAUAACAAUAAAUCUUAAAAGAGUUUAUAUAAUUAAAUAAGUAUUUAUAUCCAUUAGAUGAAGUAUGCCAAACAUACAGAAUGUCUUAUUUGUUUGAGAUUUCUUUUCUUCUCUCUGUUUGACAAAGUUAAUAAAAUAAUUAACAAGAAUUUCAAAUAAGGGCCUUUACCUUCUGUCAUUGAGACAAUAUUCACCUCCAAACUGGCGCCACCGUAGAUAUAUAUUGUACGGGCAAUAUUCAUAGAUGAUCUCUAAGAGUUCAUGCUAAAUUUUAGUUGCAAUAAGAUAUAGGCUAUUACCACCUUAAAAACUACUCUGAGCACUCUGGUUUUAAUAAAAUAAUUUAAUUACAAAAUUAAUCAUCAUAUAAAUUACUAUUAAGAUUUAUUUAUUAAUGAGCCAAUACAACUUAAUUACUUUAAAACUCAUAUAAUACACUCAUUAUUUAACAUAUAAUCUUUUAUAUCAAACAUAUCUUAAAAUACAAUUCAUUGAACAUGCAGCAAAUCAAUUUUUAAAUAAUUUUGAAGAUAAAAUAUUUGUAAGACUUACAUUUUUCUAGAAAUAAAAUAAACCGAAAUUAUUGCAAAGGUGUUCUUUUUUUGUCUUUAAUUUAAAAAUAAAUUAAUUAAAGCACUCUAAACCUAAUAACCUAGUCAGCAUCUUCUUCUUCUUCUUCUUCUUCUUCUUCUUCUUCUUCUUCUUUUUUGUGUCAGAUUACAAUUUGGUUUACAAUUAUUAUUGGGGUAGUGAAAGUCCAUACUUCUUGAUCUUAAAGAAGUUAUAGGUGCAAAAAUUGAUAUGGAAUACAUUCUUUAAUUAACGAAAACUAAUAAAUAAAAUUAUUUUAAAAAAUUUGCUUAAAACUUGACUUAAUUCCAUUGUUGCUAGUUAUGCUACAUUUAUUAAAACGAUUUUCUUUGAGUGUGCUGAAUAUUUUUAUUAGUGUUUUGAGUAAAUUAAUUUAAAUGAUUUAAGUAGGGAUACUUUUGGCAUCUUAAAGAGUGUACAAAAUAAAAAUUAAUUUUUCAAAUUUAGUAUUUGUGCAUAGAGUACCCUUUUUUUUUCAAAGAAGUUAUUUAUUCCUAAAAAUUAACAAGAUAUUUAUUCAUAGUAUACAAUGAAAGACAAUGCUAAAAGAAAUGAGCCCAACCAAGUUUUAAGCAACUUACUUCUAUAGUUUUAUGCGCGGGUCUCCCACUAACUUUUUAUUGUCGUCAUUUUGGACCUAUGGAAAUGGAAGAUUCCUGUAUUUGAUGCAGGCAUUUAACCAAAAGAUCCAAUUUUCUUUUCUUAUUUUUUUUCUCCCAAGUCUUGGCAACAUUAAUUGGUUUGAACUUUUGUAGUCUUCUAGCUCCCAGUUUAUGCGUUGGGGGUGUACCUUCUAGGGAACUUCGGCCAUCUUUUUCCUAUUAAAUGAAUUCAUCGCAACUCCCAAGUUUCAUCACUCCUCUACGAGUUUCAUUUCAGCAAUUAUUAAAACAAUGCGACCAAUUUUACUCUUAUCAUGGCCUUUCUUGAUACCCUUUUUAGCCAAUUAUUUUGGGAUCCAUAUGGUUUUGGUUUCUGGCCAAUGUCAGAGCGAUCAACAAUCGUUGUUACUCCAAAUGAAGAACAGUUUCAUAUUAAGCAAUCACAGUGUCUAUCCAUCUACAAAACUGAGUCAGUGGACUAGUCAUCAAAGCUCUGAUUGUUGUGAUUGGAACGGUGUAAGGUGCGAUGAGGCUGGUCAUGUUAUUGGUCUCGACUUGAGCAGGGAACCAAUCAUUGGCGGACUUGAGAAUGCGACUGGCCUUUUCAAUCUUCAAUAUCUGCAGAGCCUCAAUUUGGGUUUCACUUUCUUGGACGGAUUCCAAAUACCAUCCAGGUUGGGCAACCUGACAAAUUUGACUUAUCUGAAUCUUUCCCAGGGUGGCUUCGCAGGGAAGAUUCCCAUUGAGAUUUCAAGCUUGACAAGGUUGGUUACUCUUGAUUUGUCAGGCCGUGAGCGCUCAAGAGGAUUUUCCGGGAGAAUUGAGAUCCCAAACUUAAGCUUGUUUCUGCAGAACUUAACAGAGCUCAGAGAACUACAUCUGGAUCAAGUAGAUUUGUCCGCCUCCGGAACUGAAUGGUGCAAAGCUUUAUCAUUUCUGCCCAAUCUACAAGUUUUAAGCUUGUCCGGCUGUGAUCUUUCAGGUCCAAUCAAUCACUACCUGGCAAAGUUACGGUCACUCUCCGUGAUUCGUUUGCAUUACAAUUAUGGUCUAUCCUCAGGUGCAGAAUUUUUGGCCAAUCUGACGAAUUUGAAGGCCUUGGAUCUCAGCGAGUGUGGGUUGCAAGGGAAGUUUCCAGAAAAGAUAUUGCAGGUUCCUACCCUUGAGACUCUUGACUUGUCAAUUAACCAAUUGCUUCAGGGUUCUCUGCCAAACUUUCCUAAGAAUUCUUCUCUUCGGAACCUGAUCCUCUCUGGGACGGGAUUCUCAGGCACACUACCAGAUUCCAUUGGGAAUCUUGAAAAUUUGACAAGGGUAGAGGUUAGAAGGUGCAAUUUCACAGGGCCAAUUCCCCCUUCAAUGGCUAAUCUUACCCAAUUAUUUCACAUGGACUUCUCAUCUAACCAUUUCUCUGGUCGCAUCCCAUCACUUCACAAGUCAAGAAAUCUCAACUACUUAGACAUUUCGUUCAAUAAUUUAAGUGGUGGGAUCUCAUCCACCUUCUGGGAACAACUUGUAAAUCUCAAUCUUGUUCUCUUGUCGCACAAUUUACUUAAUGGAAGUAUUCCCAGAUCUCUGUUUCUACUUCCAAAUCUGGAGAUGCUUCGGCUCUCCAACAACCAGUUUGAGAACCAACUUCCUGAACUGUCAAAUGUGUCCUCGUCUGUAUUGUUUGACCUUGAUUUAAGCGGCAACAGAUUAGAAGGGCCUGUUCCCAUUUCAUUAUUCUUUGAACUCAGAAACCUUGAUACCCUCGAUCUUUCUUCCAAUAAGUUUAGCAGAUUGAGACUGGCUUCAAGCAAACCACGGGUCAUUCCUAUUCUAAAAAACCAAUCACAACUUUCUGUUUUGGACAUUUCAAAUAACCAAAUAUCUGGAGAAAUACCAAAUUGGAUUUGGGAAGUUGGUAGUGGCAAUCUUCGGUACUUAAAUCUUUCACACAAUCUCAUUGUGAGCUUGCAAGAACCUUACUCUAUUUCUGGUAUCCGCUUGCUUGACCUGCACUCCAACCAGCUCCGAGGAAAUAUCCCUCACAUGUCACCAAGUCCUUCCUACGUCGAUUACUCCAACAAUAAUUUUACUUCCAUCCCAGCUGACAUUGGUAAUUUCAUGUCUGAAACCGAAUACUUUUUCGCUGCAAACAAUAGUCUCGUUGGAGUCAUCCCGGAAUCUGUAUGCAAGGCUACCUAUUUUCAAGUUCUUGACUUAUCAAACAACAAUUUGAGUGGCACAAUUCCUACAUGUUUAAUCACCAAGAGUAGCAACACUCUAGGGGUUUUAAAUUUAGGGAGAAACAACCUCAAUGGCACUCUUUCUGACACAAUAUUUCCAGGAAAUUGUAGGUUGCAAAUUCUAGAUCUCAGUAGAAAUCAACUACAAGGAGUGGUACCAAAAUCUCUUGCCAAUUGCAAUAUGCUGCAGGUUUUAGACCUCAGGAAUAACCAUAUCAGUGAUAAUUUCCCUUGCUGGUUAAGGAAUGCUUCUCGUUUGCAAGUUCUAGUUUUGCGAUCAAACAACUUCUCCAGACACAUUAGUUGUCCAAGACAUAAUGUCUCCUGGCCUCUGCUUCAAAUAGUCGACUUAGCAUCCAAUAAAUUCAGCGGAAGACUAUCACAAAAAUGGUUACUUACGAUGGAGAAAAUGAUGGUUACUGAAACCAAAUCCGGAUCUGAGCUCAACCAUCUUGGAUAUGAUAUGUCGAGCAACCGAUUCUAUGAGGUUAGUGUAACAGUUACAGUAAAAAGUGUUGAGAUCAUGCUACUGAAGGUCCCAAAUAUAUUCACUUCCAUUGACUUUUCAAGCAACAAUUUCGAAGGGCCAAUACCAGAAGAAAUGGGACAAUUCAAAUCACUUUAUGCUCUGAACAUGUCGCACAAUGCUCUCACAGGCUCGAUACCAUCAUCUUUUGGGAACUUGAAACAGAUUGAGUCCUUGGACCUCUCAAUGAACAACCUCAGUGGAAAAAUUCCUUCCCAGCUUGCAAGCCUAAAUUUCCUAUCGGUGCUAAAUCUCUCGUACAAUAACUUAGUGGGAAAGAUUCCGACAAGUACUCAACUCCAAUCAUUUUCACCAACUUCUUAUGAAGGAAACAAAGGAUUGUACGGACCUCCUUUGACGAAUGAAAGCCAAACACGUCCUUCUGAGUUACCACCUUCACCGCCACCAGCUUCAAGCGAUGAAAUUGAUUGGUUCUUCAUAGCCAUGUCAAUUGGAUUUGCUGUAGGCUUCGGAGCAGUUGUUUCACCUCUAAUGUUUUCCGUGCAGGUAAACAAAUGGUAUAACGAUCUUAUCUACAAAUUUAUAUAUCGGCGAUUCCGUGUGUGAAGUGAUUUAAAUCUCUCCUUUUGAAUAAUCAUGUAAGCUAGCUUUUGCUUCUCUCUUCUGUCAUAGAUGUUUGAUAUUUCUUUUCUUCUCUGUUUGAUAGAGUUAAUAGCGUUGACAAUAAUUUGAAAUAAGGGCCUAUCUAUAACUGUUGCUGAGACAAUCUUUAUCUCAAAAUUGACUCCAAGUUAGAUCUAUAUUGGCGCAAUUCAUAAACAACAUGUCUUCGUGAGUCCAUACUAAAUUAAUAUGUGCAAGACUGUUUGCAAUUCCAACUCUAGGCUAGAUGCAUAGCGAUUCAUGAUCAUAUUCCAUUUGUUCACUUGAAAGUUUAAGAGUAGAAAGAAGAAUUUAGAAGAUAACUUUUUAAGAAAGGCGUGAGUUAUGAGCCCAUAUAAGAAAUGAGCCCAAAAAGGUUUUGGGCCCUUGUGGCCUGACCGAGUAGUUUCUUUAAAAUAUUAGGUUAUGUUGUGUUUAAUAGUUGAAAUGAGAGUAUAGAGUAGAGAGUAGAGAGUAUGAAUUCUUUCUACUUCAGUAUUUUUUUUUUGCUUAUUUAAAGAGGGGAGUAAAAGUCUCAUUUCAUGAAUCUCACUUAUUUUUAGAGUAAGGAGUGGGAUUCUCACUUCUAUAGGGGACAAUCCCACUUCUUCUUUUUUUACUCUUUCUUUAUCAAACAUAAUAAAAUUUAUAUUUAUUAAAAAUAAAAUAAUGUUACAUUAUUUAAAAAUAAUAACAUUAUUUUUAUUUAAAUAAUAUUAUUAUAUUUAAUUAAAAAUAAUAAUUUAUGUAAUCUAAGCUAAAAUUACUUAAAAGUAAUAUUAUUAUAUUCAUAGAGAAUUAAUAAUAUUACAAUAUACUAUCUUUAUUUGAAAAAUAAAAUUAUUAUAUUUAUUUAAUAUUGAAAAUUAAUAAUAAUGAAUAGUUUAUCCUAAGAAAAUAUUCAUUUUGUACUAUAUUAUUAAUAAUAAUGUUUCAUUUGUUUUGUUCUUAUAUUAAUUUUUAAUUUACAUAAUUAAAAUUAAAAUGAAUAAAAAAAUUAUGAUUUCCAUAAUUACGAAUAUUAAUAAUUAUUAGUAAUUUAUAUAAUUAAAAUUAAUAAUCAAUUAAAUAGUUUAUUUUAUAAAUAUAUUUUUUAUUCACUUGUAAUUAUAAACUACAAUCUUUUAAAUAAGGGUAAAAGUGUAAUUUAAAAUAAUUCACUCCCAAUCCAAAUAAGAGUAAACAUAUAAAUGAGAUUUUGACUCUUCUUCCAACGUAAAUAAACAAUCUAUUUCUACUCUCAAUCUCUGAAUUCCCAAACCACACCUUAGUUGAAUGGUUUUCAAAUAAUUUUUAUUCAAUUGUAACAUGGGGUUCAAAUAUUGAAAAAAUUAGAAUUAAAAAUUUCUAAAAAAAUUGAUUUGAACUUUUUCCACCACUCUACUUUUUAAAUAAAUGAAAAAGAAAAACUCUCAAAUAAACAAAUAAAAGCUUUUAUGUAUGUGCCCCAAUAACGUUUUUACUGUCAAUUAUUUUGAGUUAUUAAUGUUGUGCAAUUUUUGUAUUGACUAUUGUUGUACAUAAUUUAUCUAACUUUAACAGUAUUUUCUUGCCAACUUGCAUCUCAGCAGUUAGCAGAAUGGUGAACUACAACUCUCCCAAGUCCACUUAAACUUUUCUCUCCUAAUUAAAAAUUAUGUAAAGAUAUGAAUUUUCUUUAUUAAUUUUGUAGGUAAAACAAAUAGCCUUCCAAUAUUCGUGAGGUAGAAAUCUAGGUUGUUUUAUAAUAGAGUUGAUAUAGAUAGUCUAUCAGUAGACUCCUAAUUGUAUAAUACAUAUUAGUAAGGGGAAAAAGCACAUCUACACUUCUAAGAUUUGGGAAAUAGUCACCAAUACCCCUAAGUUUUCAUAAAAAAAACACCAAGAUACCUUUUGAUUAUUAUACUCUUUACCUCUAUUAUCCCCAAAAAUAGACUUUAAAUUUUUUAAUAAAUACAAAUAUUAUAUAAAUAAUGUAAUCUAUUAUCUAUACAGUAGACUAACAAUAUUAAAAUAUUUUAAUAUUUUAAUAAAUUUAAAUAUAUAAAUAAAUAUAUUUAUUUUAAUAAUAUGUUUUUAUUUAUUGUAGAAAUUUUAAAUAAUAUGAAUGGAUUGGAAAUCAAUCUUUGCAAUGAAAGAAAAGUUAGCCUUCACAUGGAAGGAAGGAUAACCUUUAUAAAGAAGGAAAAAGCAACCUUCACAUGGAAAGAAAGAUUAAACGAUGAAAGGGGGAGGGGGGAAGUAAUUAAUAGUUAAUAACAGUAAUUAACAAUUAGUAAUAGAAUUAAUAUUGUUGAUGCGAGAUUCUGGUUGUCCUCGUUCUACGACCAGGCUCUCUGCUCGAUCAACUUCACCACGACCAGGAGGUCUCCUCGUAAGGCUUCUUCUCCAGAGGUUCCUGCGCACACAGACAAGUCAGAGUACGCCGGUUGUUUUCCCGGCGCAAACCCUCCGACGCUCAAGUCAGAUAUGAAGGUUCGGGGAACGCUUACCACAGAUCUUAUGGCUUUUUCGUAGUUUUCUCUUCUAAUCUCAAAAUUGCUAACCCUUUUACCUUCGUUGGCUACCUUUUUAUAGGCUUCCUCUGAAUCCAGAUCUUCCGCAGUCCACGCCCGUCAUUCUCCCCACUCUCGGGUGUGGACGCCCCAUUACCGCCAUUGUCGACGAAUGGAGAUGGACCUCGUGCCUUAAUUCUCGGAUAGGAAUGCACGUCCUGCCAACUGUCGUUGACUGGGUCUCCUCGCCUCGAUGCCUAGCAGGAAUGACCUUAUGCCUCUAACAGGAGUUCGGCCUCACGAAUGGCAUAUUCGUGGACGAGCAGAAUACUCCUGCUCGUAUUCCCCUGCUACUUGGCUCUUGCAAGAUACCCCUGCUCGCAGAACCCUGCCACCAACCACCUGCUCAUCAUGUUUGGUCGCCUCGAUGUAUUUCCCUCAAACACCGGUCCCCCAGUUUCUGGUGUUGGGUAAUGUAAUGGACCAGCAGUAGAAACUCAACGGUUCUUGCUCGCGUGGGACUGGAAAAGGCUGCCAAGAGUCGUGUCGCAUUUAAUUGCGGACGAGGUGAUGUGGCAGAAAUCUGCCCCUCUAUUUGAAUUUCAAACCAAUGGUUACGAGGCCCUUGGGGUUUGGUACCGUUAAAUGCUGGCAACCUAAGAGUCCGUCCCCUUUAUGAAACCCACCUCCUUUCGUACAGCAAAUUCAUCAUCCACUCCGUCUCCGUCUCUGUCUCUCCGGCAAAGAAGUUCCGGCAUAAAGGCCUCCAUCUCUGUCUUUCACCGACUGAAACAUUACUUCAGGUACUUCUUCUAUCUCCUUGGUCUCGGAUAGUUGUAGAUAAUUUCUCUUCUCUUUUGUUCGGGUAGUAGUUGGUGGUGGCGUUGUGGUUAGCGCUUAGGGAAUGUCGAAAGGUAAAGAGAAGGUCGUUGAGGUUGACGACGAUGAGUUGGACUUCCUGCCUAGUCUGCUCACCGAUCCUGCUUUUGACCCCGGGAUCCCCUUAGAGCCCAUCAGAUCCAGUGUUGGUACUAGCGCUAGGAGGAUGUCUCCCCAAACAACCUCCUCGAGCGGAAAUAACGAUGAAGAAGGGUCUUCUGGAUCGGAGAACACCCCGAGUGAGGGUCGAGGAGAUGAUUCUGGUGAGGUGUCCCCAUCAGGAGCGUCGCGACCAGAAGAGAGGAGUACAAUAGGAGGUAGAGCCCUAUCGCGGGAUUACGCUAUUGAUUAUAUGACGUGCACGACCACGUUUGAUGAGCUCGAUGACCUCCGGCUUAGGUAUAGUAUUCCUGGUGAAAUACCUCUUAAGGUCCCAGGAAAGAAGGAUGCUCCUAGCUGGCCUCCUAGGGGAUAUGUUACCCUGUAUCUGGAUAGCUUUAAGUAUGGGCUGAGGUGUCCCUUGCAACCUUACUUUGCCGGGAUACUUAACGGGCUGAAUCUAUCUCCUGGUCAGUUGAACCCAAACGGUUGGAGAGUGCUCUCUGGUCUGUUCAUAUUGUGGGACAGAUGUUGCCAAAGCGAGCCCACAAUUGAUGAGGUGAAGCACCUGUACCAGCUAAAGAGCAGCCCCAAAGAUGUCGGCUGGUACUACUUCUAAUCUAGUACCAAGACCAGGAAACCUAUAACCGACCUCCCUACUGGUGGUGGUGGGAAUUGGAAGAGAAAGUUCUUUUUUGCUGGGGGCCUUGGGGUCAGGUUGCACAAAUGGACGGGAAGGAUUAUCGGGUCCCACCCCGUUUCACGGUCCCAGGUUGCCUGCUCGCUUUAGAUGUCCUGUAUCCAUAAUUGUUCUUGCUUUAUUGGCUUGUCUCUAACCAAGUGUCUGUUUGUGUUGUAGUUUCUUGGGGUGUUCAUUUCCCGCACCAACCUGGCCAGCUCAAACAGGUUGAGGCUGUGCUAGUCAAUUCCUGCCCGAGCCGAGAGCUGUUAACUACUUACAACUUGCUCGAGUCUCGCUUGAUACUACCUGGCCAUAAGAUGGAGGACGCUGUGAUUGGGGCUCUGAACAGGAAACGUUCUCGACCUCAAACCACGAAGAGGGACCAGAACAAGGACGCCCCUUCUGCAAAGCGGGCCAACAUCGUGCAGCAAGUCUCUCCCUUGAAGACUUUACCUCCUGCUCCUGCCAAAAUUGGGGAGACUAGUGGAGCAGCCACGGAUCCUGCUUCCUCUUCGCCUCCUGUCGGGCCUCGAUCUCGCUUACCUGACAGCCGAGCAGAACACUUGGUCCCCUACCUUAAUGAGUUCUCUAAACUCGUGAGCAAGAAGGACCUGGAGGACUUUGACGGCUGCACCUUGGGUGAGCUGGUGGGGGCCAUGCAGUAUAGCGCUUUCCACCUCAGCUGCAUGACCACCUAUUAUAAGGCUAAGGUUAGCCGCAACGACCGGAAGAUGAAGGAGGAUAUUCAAUCGGCGACGACCAGAGCUGACGUUGCCGAGAAGAAAGCAGGGGAGCUGAAUCUCGAGAAUCUGAAGCUGAUAGAGCAAGAAUCACUUGCUCAAGCAAAGGCCAUUACCCUCGAGGAGGAGCUUACCAAGGUCAAGGAGGAUCUGCAAAGGCAGAAGGCUAUGUAUGACGCCCAGCUCGAAUCUCUCCGCGACUCCAACCGAGCUCAGGUCGAGAACUUGGAGAGGGAGGCCGAGAACCAGUACGACCAGGGACUUCGGCAUUCCUAUCGUUGCAUCAUGGCUGUCCUCGGGAAGCAACACCCUGAUCUGAAGAUGGAUGACCUUGCAGCUGGUGUUGCUCAACAUAUGGACGAGGAGGCGGCCAAGGAAGAUGCUGAAGGGGUAGAGCCGAUCGUGAUUGAGGAGGAAAACUCUCCUCCUCGUGUAGUCCCUGCUGAUGUUGGCGAGGCAAGCACCCCUCCGGACGCAACUGGUGAUACCCCCCUGCACCUGAGGAGGUCCAGCCAACAGAUGCUGCUCGGCUUACUGAUCCACCAUCUUCUUGAUAUAUUUCUUGUAUUGUAAUGAACAAUUUUUGUGACGAUUAUCUCUUCUGUUAAUUACUAACAAUUAAUAAAGAUGUUUUUGAUUACUUUCUCGUGUUGUAAUCAUCACUUAUUUUCCGUUUGGGAAUCUGCUCGUCUUUGUCUGGUCGAGCAGGUUCUGGCUUGGCAUAUGGUUUUGCCACAUGCCUUAGAAAAUUCUUCGAUGCUUGAGAUUCUGCUCGCCUUCGCGCGGUCGAGCAGACCCUGGCACGCUUGGCUUCUGUCUCGCCAUAAACAGGCUUUGAGACUUGACGAGCCUUUGCAUGCCUUGGAAAAUUUUUCGAUGCUUGGGGAUUCUGCUCGCCUUUGCGUGGUCGAGCAGAUCCUGGCACGCUUGGCUUCUGUCUCUCCAUAAACAGGCUUUGAGACUUGACGAGCCUUUGUAUGCCUUGGAAAAUUUUUCGAUGCUUGGGGAUUCUGCUCGCCUUCGCGUGGUCGAGCAGAUCCUGGCACGCUUGGCUUCUGUCUCGCCAUAAACAGGCUUUGAGACUUGACGAGCCUUUGCAUGCCUUGGAAAAUUUUUCGAUGCUUGGGGAUUCUGCUCGCCUUCGCGUGGUCGAGCAGAUCCUGGCACACUUGGCUUCUGUCUCGCCACAAACAGGCUUUGAGACUUGACGAGCCUUUGCAUGCCUUAGGUAAUCUCUGCAAUGAUUGGGAGUCUGCUCGCCUUCUCGUGGUCGAGCAGAUCCUGGCACGCUUGGCUUCUGGUCUCGCCAUAAACAGGCUUUGAGACUUGACGAGCCUUUGCAUGCCUUAGGUAAUCUCUGCAAUGAUUGGGAGUUUGCUCGCCUUCUCGUGGUCGAGCAGAUCCUGGCACGCUUGGCUUCUGGUCUCGCCAUAAACAGGCUUUGAGACUUGAUGAGCCUUUGCAUGCCUUGGAAAAUUUUUCGAUGCUUGGGGAUUCUGCUCGCCUUCGCGUGGUCGAGCAGAUCCUGGCACGCUUGGCUUCUGUCUCGCCAUAAAUAGGCUUUGAGACUUGACGUGCCUUUGCAUGCCUUAGGUAAUCUCUGCAAUGAUUGGGAGUCUGCUCGCCUUCUCGUGGUCGAGCAGAUCCUGGCACGCUUGGCUUCUGGUCUCGCCAUAAACAGGCUUUGAGACUUGAUGAGCUUUUGCAUGCCUUGGAAAAUUUUUCGAUGCUUGGGGAUUCUGCUCGCCUUCGCGUGGUCGAGCAGAUCCUGGCACGCUUGGCUUCUGUCUCGCCAUAAACAGGCUUUGAGACUUGACGAGCCUUUGCAUGCCUUAGAUAAUCUCUGCAAUGAUUGGGAGUCUGCUCGCCUUCUCGUGGUCGAGCAGAUCCUGGCACGCUUGGCUUUUGGUCUCGCCAUAAAUAGGCUUUGAGACUUGAUGAGCCUUUGCAUGCCUUUGAUAAUUUCUUGAAUGCUUUGGAGUCUGCUCGCCUUCUCGUGGUCGAGCAUAUCCUGGCACGCUUGGCUUCUGUCUCGCCAUAAAGCAGGCUUUGAGACUUGCUGAGCCUUUGCAUGCCUUUGAUUCUUCAAGGAUUGGGAUUCUGCUCGCCUUCUCGUGGUCGAGCAGAUCCUGGCACGCUUGGCUUCUGUCUCGCCAUAAAACAGGCUUUGAGACUUUGAUGAGCCUUUGCAUGCCUUUGAUUCUUCAAGGAUUGGGAUUCUGCUCGCCUUCUCGUGGUCGAGCAGAUCCUGGCACGCUUGGCUUCUGUCUCGCCAUAAAACAGGCUUUGAGACUUUGAUGAGCCUUUGCAUGCCUUUGGUUCUUCAAGGAUUGGGAUUCUGCUCGCCUUCUCGUGGUCGAGCAAAUCCCGGCACGCUUGGCUUCUGUCUCGCCAUAAAACAGGCUUUGAGACUUUGAUGAGCCUUUGCAUGCCUUUGAUUCUUCAAGGAUUGGGAUUCUGCUCGCCUUCUCGUGGUCGAGCAGAUCCUGGCACGCUUGGCUUCUGUCUCGCCAUAAAACAGGCUUUGAGACUUUGAUGAGCCUUUGCAUGCCUUUGGAAAUUUUCCCAGUUUCAAGCGAAUGAAAUUCCUCGACGUUCCAUUAAUGGCAGGAUUCAACUUACAUGAAAUUGUUUAGACAUAAAGCGUAAAAGAUAAACGAUAAUGAACAUGAGCAGAAAUAGCUUUCGAAUGUGAACAAGUCUUACUGGAAGUAUUUUCGGAGGUGUGCUGCGUUCCAUGGGCGUUUCACCUCGUGGCCGUCCGUGCGAACCAGCUUGUAAGCUCCGGGUCCCACUAUCUGCUUGACUCUAUAUGGCCCUUCCCAAUUCGGUCCCAGCACUCCUUGAGUCGAAUCUUUGGUGCUCUGAUUCACUCUUCUCAGUACCCAAUCUCCGACCCUGAAUUGCCGUACAUUCACCUUCUGGUUAUAAUAGCGAGCAACCCUUUGCUGGUAAAUGGCUGAUCGACCAGCUGCUUGCUCCCUCUUCUCCGUUAGCAGAUCAAGAUUCAAACAUAUCUGCUCGUCAUUCUCCUGCUCAUUGAAAUGGUCUGUCCGGUGCGUGGUCGUUCCUAUCUCAGCUGGUACGACCGCUUCAUGUCCGAAAGCCAGGGCGAACGGUGUCUCCCCAGUUGCUGUUUUGUGGGUUGUCCUGUAUGCCCAUAGGACACCUGACAGCUCAUCAACCCAUGUGCCCUUUUUUGCUCCAAGCCUGGUUUUCAAAAGUCUCUUGAUGGUCUUGUUGGCUGCUUCUACUUGUCCAUUCGAUUGAGGGUGAGCAGGCGAGCAAUACUUCAGCUCUAUCCCGAGGUUCUGGCAGAAAUCCCUGAAGCUGUGAUUAUCGAACUGCCUGCCAUUAUCCGUUACCAAGGCAUAAGGGAUCCCGUAUCGACAGACCAGGUUUCUCCACACAAAGUCUGUCGUUUUCUUCUCUGUAAUCCUGCUAAGGGCUUCGACCUCUAUCCACUUCGUGAAGUAAUCUAUAGCAACUAUUGCAUGCGUUGCUGCUCCUCGUCCCUUUGGCAGCGGGCCGAUCAGAUCAAUUCCCCAUUGAGCAAAUGGCCAAGGGGAGGCCAUAGAGGUGAGCUUCUCUGGUGGUUGGUUGGGGAAACUUGCAAAACUCUGGCAGCUUACACAGCUCCUGGUCUUCUCAUGUUCAUCCUGGUGCAUUGUCGGCCAGAAAUAUCCCUGCCUUAGAACCUUGUGGGCCAGGGAUCUCCCACCAGAAUGAUUCCCGCAAAUUCCUUCAUGUACUUCUCUCAGUACGUAAUCCGCGUCGUCCUCAUCCAAACAUCGAAGGAAAGGUAGUGUAUAUCCUCGCCGAUACAAUAUCCCAUCAAUCAUCGUGUAUCUCGAGGCCUGGGCUCUAAUCUUCCGAGCUUGCAGCUUAUCUGGUGGUAAUACCCCGUCUCUAAGGUAUGAAACUAUCGGGUCCAUCCACGAGCAUUUUUGUUCUAUCCGCAGCACCCCCGAAUUCGGCUCGAUGCUCGGGCUGGACUUCACCUCCAGAGGGAUCGACUUUGGCAUUUUUGGGUCUGCUACCGCUGCCAUCCUGGCCAGAAUAUCUGCUCGACUAUUCUGCUCCAUUGGGAUUUGUACUACCUCCACCGCUUUGAAUUUUCCCAUCAUCUGCCUGACUAUCUUCAAGUACUGCUCCAUCUUCUCCUCUCUUGGUUGGAAUCUUUCACUGACAUGAUUCGCAACCAGCUGGAAAUCAGUUCUGAUCUUCACUCUAUCUGCUCUCACGGCCUUAGCCAGUUCUAAUCCUGCUAUCAAGGCUUCAUACUCUGCCUGGUUAUUUGUUGCUGCGAAUUCUAACUUUACAGCAUAAGAGAUCUCCUCCCCCUCCGGGCCUUCCAAUACAAUCCCUACUCCUGAUCCCUGCUCCCCUGAUGACCCAUCUACAGACAUUUGCCAUACUUGAGCUUCGCCACUGUCUGCAAUUACAUCUUGUUGGUCUAAACAUACUUCAGGCUCCGUGAAUUCUGCUACGAAAUCGGCCAUUGCCUGAGCCCUCAUCGCUGCUCGGGGUUUGUAGUCUAUGUCGAACUCGCUCAGCUCUAUAGCCCACUUGACGAGCCGACCAGAAGCAUCGGGCUUGUGCAGAGUUUGACGCAAUGGCUGGUUUGUUAUAACCGAGACUGGAAAUGCCUGAAAAUAUGGCCUCAACUUCCGAGCAGCAACCACAAGGGCAAGUGCCCAUUUCUCCAACGGUGGGUACCUGGUCUCAGCGUCGAGCAGGGCCUUGCUGGUGUAGUAUAUUGGAUACUGAACUCCUUCUUCCUCUCUCACCAGAACAGAACUGGCGGCCCGAUCCGAUACCGCCAGAUACAAAAAUAACUUGUCCCCAUCCCUCGGUGUGGAUAGCAGAGGGGCUUGCUGUAAAUACUGCUUCAAGUUCUGAAAGGCUUCCUCGCAUUCCGGGGUCCACUCUGUUUUCUUUCCCCUCCUUAUCACUUGAAAGAAUGGUUGACACUUAUCUGUAGCCUUGGAUAUGAAUCGGCUCAAUGCCGCCAAUCUCCCCGUAAGGUUUUGUAUUUCCUUCAGGUUACGAGGAGACCUCAUCUGCACAAUCGCCUGGAUCUUCUCGGGAUUUGCUUCGAUCCCCUGAUGACUCACCAUGAAUCCAAGGAACUUCCCCGACUCGACCCCAAAAGCACAUUUCUCUGGGUUGAGUUUCAUCUUAUACUUCCUCAAAAGCUCGAAUGUCUCCUCGAGGUGUCUGACAUGUUCCUUCGGGAUUUUGGACUUGGUGAUCAUGUCAUCCACGUACACCUCCAUGGUUUUCCCAAUCAACGGCUUAAAGACUUUGUUCACCAGCCUCUGAUAGGUGGCCCCAGCAUUUUUGAGACCAAAUGGCAUUACCCUAUAACAGAACAAACCCUGGUUAGUGAUGAAAGCCAUGCUCUCCUCGUCCUGCUCGUACAUGGGGAUCUGGUUGUAUCCCGAGAACGCGUCCAUGAAGCUAAGCAGAGCGUGUCCAGCCGUUGAAUCUACUAGCUGAUCGAUCUUUGGUAAAGGGAAGCUGUCCUUUGGGCUCGCCUUAUUGAGGUCUGUGAAAUCCACACACAUCCUCCACUUGCCAUUCGCUUUCUUUACCAACACCACAUUCGAUAUCCAUUCAGGGUAAUUGACUUCCCGAAUGAACCCUGCUCUCAAGAGCUUCUCCACCUCGCCAUUUAUAGCCUCAUACCUCUCCUGGUUAAAGCACCUCCUCUUCUGCCUUACUGCCCGAGCACCUUUCUUUAUUGCCAGCUUAUGACAUGCUACCUCAGGGUCAAUCCCUGGCAUGUCUUCAUGUGUCCAAGCAAACACAUCUGCAUGAGCCUGUAAGCAUUUCACCAACUCCUGCUUUUACUCUCCCUUAAGUCUCGACCCGAUUCUGAUUGUCUUUCCCGGAUUCUCUGGUCCCAGGCUUACAGUUUCCAGAUCCUCUACAGGUUCUUGUCUGCCAUUCUUGUUUUCCACUCGGGUAUCGAGGGAUGUUAUCUGCAUUGCUUCCCCUGUUUCCAUCGCUUUUCACUUGCUUUACUCCCCUUCUUGCUAUCAACAGAAGCUUUUUGAUCAGUUCCCCACAGACGGCGCCAAAAUGUUGAUGCGAGAUUCUGGUUGUCCUCGUUCUACGACCAGGCUCUCUGCUCGAUCAACUUCACCACGACCAGGAGGUCUCCUCGUAAGGCUUCUUCUCCAGAGGUUCCUGCGCACACAGACAAGUCAGAGUACGCCGGUUGUUUUCCCGGCGCAAACCCUCUGACGCUCAAGUCAGAUAUGAAGGUUCGGGGAACGCUUGCCACAGAUCUUAUGGCUUUUUCGUAGUUUUCUCUUCUAAUCUCAAAAUUGCUAACCUUUUUACCUUCGUUGGCUACCUUUUUAUAGGCUUCCUCUGAAUCCAGAUCUUCCGCAGUCCACGCCCGUCAUUCUCCCCACUCUCGGGUGUGGACGCCCCAUUACCGCCAUUGUCGACGAAUGGAGAUGGACCUCGUGCCUUAAUUCUCGGAUAGGAAUGCACGUCCUGCCAACUGUCGUUGACUGGGUCUCCUCGCCUCGAUGCCUAGCAGGAAUGACCUUAUGCCUCUAACAGGAGUUCGGCCUCACGAAUGGCAUAUUCGUGGACGAGCAGAAUACUCCUGCUCGUAUUCCCCUGCUACUUGGCUCUUGCAGGAUACCCCUGCUCGUAGAACCCUGCCACCAACCACCUACUCAUCAUGUUUGGUCGCCUCGAUGUAUUUCCCUCAAACAAAUAUAAUAAAAUUACAUGAAAUUAAAAUACAAUUGAAUAUAAACAAAUACAAUAUCAAUUAUCACAAUGCAACUAAUAAGUGUUUGUUUGCUAUAACUUAUCUAGUAGUUAUAAGUCUUAUUUAAUCUCAUAAGUUUCUAUCAAAAUUUUUAUUAUUGUUUGAUUUUUUUUAAUAGAACUUUUGAUUAUUAAAUAAGAUAUUUUAUCCCUAUUACUAAAAGCUUAAAUUUUGGGUUUUUGAAAGUAAAGGUUGAAAAGUUUUUUUAAAAUGUUAAAAUGUUUAAAAUAUUAUUUACUUAUUUGACAUUUUUAUUUUAAUAUUUUCAUAACAUAACUUUAAACAACUUACAUAUUAAAAUAAUUUUUAACUUUUAAUUAAACCUUUCACUGACAACUAAACAAUUAAAACUUUUAAAUAAAAACUUCAUUUAUAAAAACUCAACUAAUAAAAAACUUUACUUGAGUGUGCUCAAUUUAAAAAUGGAACCUAAAGACUAGAAUUUUGUUUUUUAAUAUUUAAUUGUCGGGCUGAAGGAUGGGACUCCCUAGCCCGAGCCCGAUCCGGCUGAAGUUCGAACACAUUAGAUCCUAACCCGACCCGAAGCAUAGUAGUCGAGCCAAAGCCCAGCUGGAGGGGGCGCUCACUUUUCUGCCAUUCCUAGCGGCGACUCGACUCAAGCCCUGGCUGGCUGGUCGUAGUUAUUGCGCAGUUCAGUUGACAGGCGUUGAUACAACGCUACGCGGGGUAUGCGCAGAGCCUUAACCUACACCCACUACAUUUCUCCUCUGUCCUCUCUAUAACUAGCUUUUCUCUUUUGCUUUUCGUUUCCCUCUUCUUUCAAAAUCAUCACCGAAUCAACAAAUAAUCUUUCACUCUGUCACUCACUAACAAAAAAUCAGGAAACGAUCAAUAAUUACCAAGUUAAUAGCAAAUUAACUGAACUGCUUCAAGCAAUAAUGGCUACUUUCGGUGCUGCUGCCGUUGCCACCAAUCAAAACCCUAACAAUUCCAUCGAGGUAUACUUUAUUUAUUUAUUUUCUUUUUUCUUUUUUCUUUUUUCUUUCCGAUAAUCUUUAAAAAUUAUUUACCUUUAAAUUUUCUUGUCGGUUUCUUGUGUAUGAUGAACUUGGCGACUGUUGAAUUAAUGCUUAUGAUGAUGUUGUAAGGAUUAAGUAGAAAGAUAUAUAAAUUAUUUAUUAUAUAUUUUUGUCAGGGUUAAGCUUAAUUGCUUGUGUUAAUGUAAAAAUUAAUUCUACAUUUUCGGAUAAAGAUUUUUUUUUAAUGCUAAAUAUGUAUGCGAAGCUAUGAUCAUUUGUUUGCUUGCUUUCUUGCUGAACGGAUUGUUGAAAGCGAACCAAUUGCUAAGCUUGUGAAUGUGUUGGAGUUUCAGUGUAAAAGAACAGUAGUUAGUAAGUGAAUCACACUGUUAAGUUUAUAUUAGGUUAAUGAAGAUAAGUUUUCUACAAUUGGUCAUGUAAAAGUUUGAUGCACCAAAUUUUCAAAUGAGAUAAAUUGUUUCUGGUCAUAGGUUCCAAAUUUAUACGCUAGAUGUUGAUAUCAUGUAGGUGUAUGUGAAGUGUAGUUCUCUCAUUGAAGCUUCGUUUGAUACUUGAGUAAGCUUGGUUGAUCUUUUAAUAUAAAGAUGCUGUUAGAAAAGUAGUAUUUACGUGAAAUUUUUCAAUGGCAGGUGUCUCAACCUCCCAAUGAUUCUGUUUCAAGCCUUUGUUUCAGUCCCAAGGCCAAUAUCUUGGUUGCAACCUCAUGGGAUAAUCAGGUUUGUCCAAUCGGGUUCUGUUCUUUUUUUAUACCUUUAGUUAUGCCUUUCUGUUUGUUGGUUAACAUCCUUGAUAUUCCCAUUCGUCUUGUUUGAAUGCUUUCACAGGUAAGGUGUUGGGAAAUUUCACACAGUGGAACUGCUGUGGCCAGUGUGCCCAAGGCAUCAAUUUCGCAUGACCAUCCGGUAAUCUAAAGCAAGAUUUGUGGUAGUUAGAAUAACAUACUGUUGAAUUUGUGAUUGCUGAUAAUUUAACCUUUUUCUUAUCUUUGAAAUUUGAAGGUCCUAUGCUCAACAUGAAAGGAUGAUGGAACUACUGUCUUCUCUGGAGGAUGUGACAAGCAGGUCAAGAUGUGGCCUUUGCUCUCUGGUGGUCGGUCAGCCAGUGACUGUUGCUAUGCAUGAUGCGCCAAUUAAGGAGGUUACUUGGAUUCCAGAGAUGAAUCUACUUGCUACAGGAAGCUGGGACAAGACAUUGAAGUAAGAUUUUUUCGCUUCUUUUUAUUUAAAAUUGCAGUCUAUGUCGCAUUUUGGUUGGGGCAGUAAAUUGGUUUUAUAAUUAUAAGUUCAUCUGUUAGAAGCCUUCGUUGUGCAGUUGAGUGUAAUGACCUUGCCAAGUGGGACAAUAUGUGCAUGUGGAUAGUUAAGUGGUCAGUUCACAUGACCUCGAACAGAAGAGUGACCAUGUUGUGUUCAGAUGAACGAAUGGAACUGUUGUGCGUGUUUUGCUCUGCCACAGUAACUUGUACUGACAAUUACUGAUGCUCAAAGUGGAUAUGAGCUGGCAGGGGCUAUGGAUUCUCAAAUUGUCAGCACUCUUUGUCCAUACUUAUAUAAUUUAGGUGUUGUUUAAAGAGAAACAUCCAUGAUGAGUGCUUUAAUAUUGUAGGCUUUUCUCUUUCUUUCUUCUCUAAGUCGUGGGUGUCAUGCUCUUUUCUUUCUCCUUUUGGGUUUACAGUAUAUCCUUUCGUUUUAUUUGGUAUCUGAUGUGGUCAACAGUUUACUGUGUCUCCAUGUGGUGCCUUGUGUUAUCUGUAAGCACUUUGUCCGAUUUUUUGUGUAGUUGAUCAGUCACUUAUACUCUCUUGAUGUUCUUGUAUUUUGAGUUCCUUACCCUCUUAAUGUUGCAAUAUGUAAUUAGGUACUAGGAUACAAGGCAGCCAAAUCCUGUUCACACUCAACAGCUGCCUGAUCGCUGCCAUGCAUUUACGGUGAGAUAUCAACUUAUGGUUGUUGGCACUGCAGAUAGAAAUCUAGUUGUCUUCAACUUGCAGAAUCCUCAGGUAUUGUUUUUUAUUCCAUGAGAGCAUUGAUUUAUGUGUAAGUUAAAUGGGCAAAUUUAGUGCAGGCAGCUGAAGCAUGUGUUUUGUGUGGCAGCAGCUGCUGCGACAUUAGUAGUUGGCUGACUAAUUUAUAAAAAACUAUUUGUGAUUCUAUCAUUAUUGAUGAAUUAAUAAAGUGAAUUAGUUUAUCUUUUAGUGGUUUUGUGCAUUUUAAUGUGUAAAUAGUGUUACUCAAAAACAAAUAUGACUAGUAGAAAACUGGAAAUAUAUAUAUAAAGUGUACUAGAGAUGAUAUAAUUUUACUAUUUUCAAAAAAAAAAAAAAAAAAAAAAAAAAAUAGUAUCUAUGGCAGCUUGUGCUUGUAGCCCAGUGGUAUGAGGCUCAUUCUCUUCAAUAUUAGUGAGAGCAGAUAUUUGAGCUUAUUACUUCUCUAGAGUCCUAUAAAUUUUAGUGAUUUCAAAUUGUAUAUAUCUCUAAAAAAUAAAAAUAAAAAUAAAAAAGAUUUCUCAGAAAAAAGAAAAGAAAAAAAAAAAGAAACUCUAGUACAUAAGUUUGCAUUGUGUUGUUAGACUUGGAAAAGUCUCGACAGUGAUUGGAUAGAUUUUUAUUUGUUUAACAAUUAAAGAUGUUACUUCUGAUAAUAAAACACUCAUUGAUUUAGAAAAAUUAAUCAUUCGAUCAUCGAUCUCAAUGGAUCGCUUUGCAAUCUUCAUUAUUCUUGUUUCCUUGCUGCUGUCUUCUUGAUACUAGCACCACCUUCUCAUUUACAUAUCUUAACUAAAGCUUUAAUUUCUUUUAGUUUCUCCAUCAUUCAGGGGAGGAUUUGAUGAUUUGCUAUUGUGUGAGGAGAAGCCAAGAAGCAGAUGUAGAGGGUUGUUAAUUUUGGGGAUAAUUAUUUUUCAGUGGGGACAAUUUUAUAAAAAGAAUUUAAUAAUGAAUCAAUUUUAUAAAUUGUCUUUUGUGGUGGGCACGAACUGACAUUUUACAACUCAAAAUAUUAGCGAAAGUUCGAAACGAUUUUCUUCUCUCUCAAAUCUUGCUCGCCGCUCUCAAUUGAAAAAACAGAGCCCUCUGCUCUCACUUCUCAGCUCUUUUUUGGUACUCCAUUGAAAUUCAUAAAAUAAUGAUAAUGAGACUAUUAUUGAAUAUUUUUAAAAUAUGAAAAAGCACUGGGAACAAGUGUGAGAAUCUUUUUACUAAUAUCUAGGGGUGGGCAAACGGUUCGGUUUUUGCCGAACCGAACCGAAAAAUUCGGUUCGGUUCGGUUCGGUUCUAUGAGCAAAAACCGAAUGGUUUAAAAAAUACUGAACCAAUUGGUUUUAAUUCGGUUCGGUUCAAAACCGAAUUGAACCGAAAAACCGAUCGGUUCGGUUUAAUUCAAUUACAAAUAUUUAAAAUCAAAUUUCAAUUUCAAUCACAAAAUUCAAAUCCCUAAAGCUAAAUCGCGAUUGCAUACUGCCCUUGCCUCUCUCCCUCGCGCCUCUCCCUCGCGUCUCUUUCUCCUCACGGCGGAGCUCCACAACGGCGGCACCACCCCUUAGCAGUAUCUUCCCCCUCUGCGCGUGCAUGGUGCGGUUCGGCGCAGCCCCUCUCGGUCUCUUCCUCGCGUCUCUUCCUCGUCUCACACCACGGUCAGCGCCUAACACAGCCCCUUAGUAGCAGCACAGCCCCUCCCCUCAAGUACAGCGACGCCGUCGUUAACCCUCAGCUUGGUUGCUGCAGCAUCUGGAAGGUACAUAUGCUCCUUGGUCCAAACCUCCUGGCUCCUGCCAUCAGCCCGCGUCUUUAAUCUUCACUGCUGCAGGUUUUUUUUUUUUUUGUUAAUCCAUGUUGUGGACUUGGUUAAUAGUUUGAAGUUUAUGUUGGUGUAUAUUGGUUGUUGGCAGUGUGGAAAUUGGAAUUGUAUAAUUGUAUAUUUGUCGAAUUAUAACAUAGUGUGGAAUUGCUGGCACGGCAGUGUGGAAUUGUAUAAGUUAUGAGAAAACGAUUGUGAAAUGCUUCUAAUUUCAUUGACUAUGAUUAAUUUGGGAAAAAAGCUUUACAAUGAUUCCGUGUCUGUUUCAAUUUCUUUUAGAUUUUCUCUUCUCACAGUUUAAGCGUUGCUCAUGCCACUGGAAUUGGUUACUUCAAUUCCAUUACUAGGCCGAAUAAUUAAAUGAAAUAGAGCUUGUGCCUUUCUUGUGGAGCCUUACAUAUUAAAUUUGAUUCAAUAAUAAAUAUUAAGAAUAUUCAAUUGAAUAUAACUUGCGGAAGGUAUAUUUUGUAAAACUUUAAUUUAAAUUUCUGUAAUGGCUUGGGAAAGUAGAUUGAGAUUAUCCAAAUGUGCUUAAUUCAGUUCAAUACUUCAAAUUAUUAAAUAAAUCAUUUUUCUUAUUUCUUUUUAUUUGAUUUAUUUUAGAUGUCUAAUUAUUCAAGAGUUCAAGACAACCUUGAUUGUGUAGCCGAUGAUUUGGAACAUGAAGUUGAAGUUAAUGAUAAUGAAAAUGAUUCGGCAACAAUUGUCACUGGUGGAAACAAGCGAAAAAAGUCAUCCUCAUCCAAACCACCACUACCAAGGAAAAAAAUGGCUCCAAGAUCACCAGUGUGGCAACAUUUCACUAGAGUUCCAAAUGAUCAUACAAAGUGUAAAUGCAACUACUGUGGUCAAGAAUUUGAAUGUGGGACGGUCGGGUACGGGACUAGCACUUUGAGAACUCAUAAUCGUGAAAGAUGUCAAAAGUUCAAGGACUUGCAAAAAAACCAAACAAUAUUAACUCAAGAUGUUGGUAGUGAUGAAGUUGUAGCAAGGGGAUUUAGUCAAGAAGCUUGUAGACGGGCAACCGUGAAAAUGAUUGUUCUUGAUGAAUUGCCUUUUUCUGUUGUGGAGAAUGCAGGUUUUAGGCAUUUCUGUAGUGUUGCAGCUCCGAGAUAUCUUCUCCCAUCACGAAGAACCAUUAGUAGGGAUACUCUUGAGAUGUAUUUGGAGGAAAAGGUUAAGUUGAAGAGUUUAUUAGCGGGGAAUAAGCAGAGAGUAUCUUUGACCACGGAUAUUUGGACUUCCAUUACAACAGCUAGCUACAUGGUCAUCACCGCUCACUUUAUUGAUAGAGAUUGGAACUUACAUAGGAAGAUUAUCAGUUUUAACACUAUUAAUGAUCAUUCAUCGGAGACCAUUGGUAAGCAACUUAAAAAAUGUUUAAUUGAUUGGGGUAUCGAGCGAGUGUUUACUGUAAGUGUUGACAAUGCAAGUCCAAAUGAGGGUGCUCUUAGGUACUUGAUUGAUAGAGUAAAGACUUGGAGGGAUGAUGGCUUAGUGUUGAAUGGAGAUUAUUUGCAUGUUCGUUGCUGUGCACACAUAUUGAAUUUGAUCGUUACUGAAGGGUUGAAGGAAUUAGAGCAGAGUAUAGUUAGUGUUCGGAAUGCGGUGAAGUAUGUGAGAUCUUCCACUGCUAGGAUGCAAGCAUUUCAAAUUCGUGUGCAACAAGAGAAGAUUAAAUGUCGAGGAAGUGUGAUUUUGGAUUGUCCCACUAGGUGGAAUUCAACAUAUUCCAUGUUGAAUACGGCAUUAAAAUUUAAGCCGGCAUUUGAUCGAAUGGCACUUGAAGAUAAGCUUUAUGAUGCUUAUUUCAAUGAAAAAGAGGGUGGAAAGAAGAAAAGGGAGGGACCGCCAUUGUACAGUGAUUGGGAAAAUACUCGACGCAUAGUUAAGUUUUUAAAGACGUUUCAUGAUGCGACUUUGCAAUUUUCUUCAUCUUUGAAGGUAACAUUAAAUCUUUAUUAAAUUUUUUUAAUUUUUGAUAUAUAAUAAUCCGAUGAAGUUUAUUUUAGCUUUAUUAACAUUGUUUUUAUUUAUAUAAUAGAAUAUAAAAGAUAAUUAAAAAAAUUCUAUAAGCUAUAUUAUUUUUUUUAUGAGCUAUAUUUUUUUAAUUUUUGAUAUAUAAUAAUAUGAUGAAGUUUAUUUUAGCUUUAUUAACAUUAUUUUUUUUUUAGGUGACAUCAAAUAUUUGUUACAAUUUGAUAUGUCAAAUUGAACAAUCUUUGGGAUCAUUGUCCACUAGUAACGAUAGUCUUUUGAGUUUCAUGGCAAUUAAAAUGAAGGAAAAAUUUAAUAAGUAUUGGGAUGGUUGUUUCAAGAUAAAUAAGUUGUUGAUUGUUGCUUCCGUACUUGAUCCAAGAGGAAAAAUGAAAUUCGCAACACAUUGCUUUGAGAAAUUAUAUGGCAAGGAUAGUGCCAAAUGUGUUGAGAUGAAGGAAAUGAUCAAGAAUUUAUUGAUUAAGCUUUAUGAGUCUUAUAAUGCACAAUACAAACCGAGUGGAAGUGGGAGUGCAAGUGGAAGUGCAAGCGGAAGCACAAGCGAGAGCCAAAAUUUAACUAGUGGAAGUGGAAGUGGUUCGCAUUUUUGGGAUUUGGAUGAUGAUGAUGAUGUUAUGAUUGAGGAUCCUUUCUCCGAAUUUAGUAAAGUGGUUGCGGUUAGUGAAGGUAGCCCGGAGUUAUCAAAUGAGUUGGAUCUUUACUUGAUGGAGAAGACUGAAAAAAUUGCAAAAAGUAAUUUGGGCACUAAAUUUGAUAUUUUAUUGUGGUGGAGGGUGAAUAGUGCCAAUUACCCAAUCUUGUCAAGUAUAGCAAGGGAUGUUCUUGCUAUUCCGGUGUCUACUGUUGCCUCUGAGUCUGCCUUUAGUACUGGAGGUCGUAUAUUAGAUCAGUAUAGAAGCUCUUUGACUCCAGACAUGGUGGAAGCAUUGGUAUUGUUACAGAAUUGGUUGCGGACUUCUCUUUUUGUGGAUACAACGACGGACCUAAAUAAAUUAGUUGAAGACAAUAAGUUUAUGGAUCAACUUGCGGAAGGUAUAUUUUGUAAAAUUUUAAUUUUAAUUUACUUUUUAAGUAUUAUCAAUAUUAUAUAAUUUGUUUAAUUUUAAUCUAAGUUUAUUUUUUAAGUAUUACUAACCUUGUUCAAUUUAUCCAAUUUUUGUAUGUAGAACUUCGCAAAUCAACAACAGUCGACCAACUUUGUAGGUCAACAUGAAAAUUGCGGUUGAACAUAAACCAUUUUAGGUAAUUAAAUUGAUAUAUAUUUAUUAAUUAAUUAUUAAAUCGCUUUAUUUUAUUUAGUUUAAUUAUUGAGUGCUUUGGCUUAUUUUGAAAGUUUGAAUUUUGAUGUAGGUGAUGUGGGUGGCGGAUGAAAUUGUUGCUUGUGUAUUGAAGUUGAAGGCUUCUCUUAUUUUGUUUUGUUUAGAGUAUGGGAUUUUCAUGUAGAUGAUGUGGGUGGUGGAUGAAAUUGUUGCUUCUCUUAUUUUGUUAUUUACUUGAAGGCUUUGUAUUAGGACUUUUGUUAUUUUGUUUUUUACUUGAAGGCUUUGUAUUUGAAGUUGUUGAUUGUGUAUUGUAGACUUAUUGUGUUUUAUUUUUCUUGUUGUGAACUUAUAUUCUGUAAAAUGUAGGGGAAAAUUGUAAAAUGCAGUAAAAUUAGGCGAAAAUUGUAAAAUGUAGUAAGAUUUGGUUAAAACUGUAAAAUCUAUAAAUAUGUGCGAACCGAACCAAACCAAACCAAACCGAACCGAAUUUUAGAACCGAACCGAACUGAACCGAAAUAUUUCGGUUCGGUUCUAAAAUUCGGUUCGGUUUGGUUUGAAUUUUUUUGAACCAAUUGGUUCUGGUUCGGUUCGGUUCGGAGCCCGAACCGAACCGAACCGGAAAAUGCCCACCCCUACUAAUAUCAUUGAGUAUUAAACUGUAAAAAAUUAUUUUCACUAAUUCUUUUAUUAUAACAUUGUCCCCAAUGAAUUAAUUUCCCGGAUCAUCUAUGUACAAGAACCCUCUGUUUGAAUUUUUUUUUUUACUAUUUUUUUCCCAUUGUUAAAUUUUCGCAUAUGUAUCUUUCAAGUAUAAAAUCCGUUUUUUUCUCUUUUUUUUCUUAAUCCUGUUUAAUAAGAACUGGAGUUAAUCUCAAAUGUUAAUUGUUUGUUUUGAGAAACAUAGUUCUAUGUGUACGUGACUUUUAAUUUCUGUUAUUUCCUUUUUUCAGAUGUGACUUUGAACAUUAUUAUAAAAUAUUGGUUGUAGAAAUUUUUAUUUUUAACUAAAUGAUAUAUUUUUACACUUGCCCAUUUACUUUUUCUUGAUAAAAUUAUAAUGAUUAUAGACAUUAAGAAAUUAAUUACCACGUGCAUUAAAUAAUGAAUUACUGAAAAAGUUGUUUUAUAAAAAAAAAUUCUACCACAUAUAUUUUCGCUGUUUUUAUAUUGUCAAACAAAUAAAAAACAUAUUUUACUGUUCUUAUUUUUAUAUAUUGUUUAGAAAAUAAAUUACCAAAUACCUUUUCAAUUUGGGAAUAUCACAUCAAAAACCUAUUUUACUUCUUUAAAAUAAAUAUAGAAAACACCAAUCGAAAAAAUGACACCAAAAGCACCAUUAGUGUCUGCAGUCUCAAUUGGAGUUUUUUUUUUUAUGUCGUUAUUCUUAUCGAUCACUGUAGCAGCAUUUAACCAACGCAUGCAUCCAAUCUUUUUUUCUAGCUGAUCCUUCUAAGUCUUGCCUAAAUUAAUUAGUUUGAACUUUUGUAUAGCAUCAGUGCAAAAGCUUAUCCGAUUGAUAGUGAUAAAAUGAUCAUAAAUUUGAUUUUUACUCAUUUAUUACUUUCAUGCGACCUCAUUUUGUAUAUCAAAAUUGGUAUGAGAAUAUAUAUGUUUUUUUAGGUGUAGUCUGAAUCUAAAUUAAAAAUAAAAUAAAAGAAAAUAAUAAGAAGGGGAGAAAGGAGAUUUUGAUAAAAGGGCAAUUGACAAAAUCAGUGUCUAAACGACAAUAUUUUGGUCGUUAGUUACAACCCAAAAAACAGAAAAAAAAAUUAAAAAAUCAUUUUAAUGGUGACCUGAAGUCGGCCUUGGCUUUUUCCUAAAUACAUGAAUUAUACACGUUGCAACAUUUGGAAUAAUCAUUUGAUCGAUCUCAAUGGAUCGCUCUGCAACUCCUAUUAUCUCCUUGUUAUUAUUGUCGAUUGUUCCGGCAGCAGUGGCCAUUCUAGGCUUGAUUUUCUACUGUGUGAGGAGAAAGCCUAGAAGCAGAGGUAAAAGUUUCUCAUUUAAUCGCACGAUUUUGAGAGUUGAAUAUACGUACGUACGUACGUACGUAGACAUAUCUUAAUUAAAGCUUUAAUUUCUUCACCAUCCAGGAGAGGAUUUGAUGAUGUUUGAUUUGGAUUUGAACCUGAAAGCCGAUAAUGUUAUCAUCGAGCUUCCUGCAAACAAUAAGCAGGCAAAAAGAAGCAAAAAGAAGGAAGUUGACCAACUGCCCUUAUUCAGUUUUUCCAGUGUUUCUACUGCAACAAAUAAAUUCUCCGACGCAAAUAAGCUCGGAGAGGGUGGCUUUGGCCCUGUUUAUAAGGUACUACAGAUAUCCUUUUCUUUGGAGCAAUAAUUUCAUUUUUAACAGAACUAUAAAUUCACCAUCUUCAGGGAGUGUUAAAAAAAGGAGAUGAGAUAGCUGUGAAAAGGCUUUCGGGAAGAUCUGGACAAGGAUUGCGAGAGAUGAAAAAUGAAGCUUCGGUGAUAGCCAAGGUUCAGCACAAGAAUCUUGUUAGGCUUUUAGGCUGCUGCAUAGAUAAAGAUGAGAAGAUUCUGAUCUAUGAGUACAUGCCUAACAAAAGCUUGGACUUCUUUCUUUUUGGUUAGUGUUUUGCAAUUUUUUCUUAUUCUCACAUAUUCCUUACUUCAAAUUUUAUUCAUACAUUUGUUUAAACUACUAUUUAAUACGAAAUUUUAUAUCAAAAAUUUAUUUAAACUAGAAUUUAGCUUAUAUUACAUUUCCAAAUUCUAUUCAUUAGUUUAUUUAAAAUAGCAUUUAGCAUUUAAUUUAAGAUUAUAUAUCAAAAUUUCAUUCAAUAAUUUAUUAAAACGUGUACAUAAUAUUAAAUAUCAAAAUUAUUCAAUUAUUAAUUUAUAUUGAAAUUGAAUAUCUCAUAUAAUAUUCAAUAAUUAACAAUAAACUUUAACAAAUAAUCAUACUUUUCAAAUAGUUUUUUUAAUCAUAAUUUUUAAAUAGUUUUUUUUUUAAACUUCCUUAAAUUGGAUUUAAUAGCAUCUGGUCCAAUACUAAACCAAACACAAAACAUUACUAUAAAAUAAUUCAAUCUAAUCCAAUCCACUUCAAUCUUAAUAACUAGUCCAAUUCAAUCCUUUGUUUACCUAACCUAAAAGAAUAUUUAGCAUUUACUAUUUCGUUUAGCUAUUUUUAAGUUUAAUGAUUAACAUCAUCCAAUUAUCAGAUUUAAAAGAAAAAUUAAGUCACUAGAUCAAUUUACGUCAGAUUAUGCGGUCAACAUUUUUUAUUUUCAUACAUAAUGACAUUUAGUCUUUUUGUUGUAAAUUAGAUCCAACCAAGCGAAUGUUAUUAGAUUGGGUAACACGUGUUCAGAUUAUUGAAGGGAUAGCUCAAGGACUUCUUUAUCUUCAUCAAUAUUCUAGGGUACGAAUUAUUCAUCGAGAUUUAAAAGCUAGUAACAUCUUGUUGGAUAAAGACAUGAAUCCCAAAAUAUCAGAUUUUGGAAUGGCAAGAAUUUGUGGAGGAAAUGAGUUACAAGCAAACACUAGUAGGAUCGUUGGGACUUAGUAAGUAAAUGACACAAACCAAAAUUAAAGUGAUUAAGUUAUGCAUAAAUUACUGAUUAUUAUUUAUUAAUUAUUGAAUUACAGUGGUUAUAUGUCCCCGGAAUACGCACUCGAAGGAAUAUUUUCAAUUAAAUCCGAUGUUUUUAGCUUUGGAGUAUUGUUGCUUGAGAUUGUAAGUGGCAAGAAGAACACUGGACUUUAUCGAACCGACUCUCUCAAUCUGCUAGGUUAUGUAAGUAGCAAAAGCGAUUACACAUAUUCUUUUUAUAUUACUUAGGUGAAAAUAUUUAUUAAUUCCCAAGUCAUGCUCAGGUGUGGACAAGCACAAUGUGAAAACGUUUGAAUUUUUGCACCUGACAUAAACUAUUCUCUAUAUCGAGUGUAGGACUAUCUAAUAACACCGUAUGGUUGUUCAGGCAUGGGAUCUGUGGACAAGCAACAGGACAUUGGAGUUGAUUGAUCCAAUAUUAGAAGAUGAAUAUUCCUCCAAGCAUAUGCUUUUAAGAUAUGUGAACAUAGCUCUCCUUUGUGUACAAGAAAGUGCUGAUGAUAGACCCACCAUGAAUGAUGUUGUAUCCAUGCUUACAAAUGAAGCUGCAGCAUUACUUCCUCCCAAACAACCUGCUUUUUCGUUUGUAAGAAAUACA